AGUGAACGCUGGCGGUAGGCCUAACACAUGCAAGUCGAACGGCAGCACAGGAGAGCUUGCUCUCUGGGUGGCGAGUGGCGGACGGGUGAGGAAUACAUCGGAAUCUACUCUGUCGUGAGGGAUAACGUAGGGAAACUUACGCUAAUACCGCAUACGACCUACGGGUGAAAGCAGGGGAUCUUCGGACCUUGCGCGAUUGAAUGAGCCGAUGUCGGAUUAGCUAGUUGGCGGGGUAAAGGCCCACCAAGGCGACGAUCCGUAGCUGGUCUGAGAGGAUGAUCAGCCACACUGGAACUGAGACACGGUCCAGACCCCUACGGGAGGCAGCAGUGGGGAAUAUUGGACAAUGGGCGCAAGCCUGAUCCAGCCAUACCGCGUGGGUGAAGAAGGCCUUCGGGUUGUAAAGCCCUUUUGUUGGGAAAGAAAUCCAGCUGGCUAAUACCCGGUUGGGAUGACGGUACCCAAAGAAUAAGCACCGGCUAACUUCGUGCCAGCCGCCGCAGUAA
Molecule: ribosomal RNA, 506 nt
Filed under: uncultured bacterium
Lineage: Bacteria
Description: partial 16S ribosomal RNA
Rfam family: Bacterial small subunit ribosomal RNA
Source: RNAcentral